RNAcentral lists this ribosomal RNA (254 nucleotides) under uncultured bacterium. RNAcentral describes it as "partial 16S ribosomal RNA". It matches the Rfam family "Bacterial small subunit ribosomal RNA", at positions 524 to 776 of the family's 1533-position model. The record is from RNAcentral.
UACAGAGGUCUCGAGCGUUUGUUCGGAUUCAUUGGGCGUAAAGGGUGCGUAGGUGGCGUGGUAAGUCUGGUGUGAAAUCCCGGGGCUCAACCCCGGAACUGCACUGGAUACUGCCAUGCUUGAGUACUGGAGAGGAGAUUGGAAUUUACGGUGUAGCAGUGAAAUGCGUAGAUAUCGUAAGGAAGACCAGUGGCGAAGGCGAAUCUCUGGACAGUUACUGACACUGAGGCACGAAGGCCAGGGGAGCAAACAGG